RNAcentral lists this ribosomal RNA (253 nucleotides) under uncultured bacterium. RNAcentral describes it as "partial 16S ribosomal RNA". It matches the Rfam family "Bacterial small subunit ribosomal RNA", at positions 524 to 776 of the family's 1533-position model. The record is from RNAcentral.
UACGGAGGGAGCAAGCGUUGCUCGGAAUUACUGGGCGUAAAGGGCUCGUAGGCGGCCAACUAAGUCAGACGUGAAAUCCCUCGGCUUAACCGGGGAACUGCGUCUGAUACUGGAUGGCUUGAGAUUGGGAGAGGGAUGCGGAAUUCCAGGUGUAGCGGUGAAAUGCGUAGAUAUCUGGAGGAACACCGGUGGCGAAGGCGGCAGCCUGGACCAACACUGACGCUGAGGAGCGAAAGCCAGGGGAGCAAACGGG